This 64-nucleotide ribosomal RNA is filed under the name Fusarium oxysporum. RNAcentral describes it as "partial 28S ribosomal RNA". Lineage: Eukaryota; Fungi; Ascomycota; Sordariomycetes; Hypocreales; Nectriaceae. The record is from RNAcentral.
UUGACCUCGGAUCAGGUAGGAAUACCCGCUGAACUUAAGCAUAUCAAUAGCGGGAAAGAAAAAG